CCUGCUGAAUUUAAGCAUAUUACUAAGCAGAGGAAAAGAAACUAACCAGGAUUCCCUCAGUAACGGCGAGUGAAGAGGGAAGAGCCCAGCGCCGAAUCCCCAUCUGUCCGUUGGGCGCGGGAAAUGUGAUGUACGUAGGACUGCCUCUCCCUGGUGUCGACCGGGGGCCUGAGUCCUUCUGAUCGAGGCCCAGCCCGUGGAUGGUGUGAGGCCAGUAAUGGCCCCCGUCGCGCCUGGGUCCGGUCUUCUCUGAGUCGGGUUGUUUGUGAAUGCAGCCCAAAGCAGUGGUAAACUCCAUCUAAGGCUAAAACCGUCAUUAGACCGAUAGUUGACAAGUACCGUAAGGGAAAGUUGAAAAAAACUUUGAAGAGAGAGUUCAAGGGGGCAUGAAACCACUGAGAGGUAAACGUGUGGGGUCCUUGCAGUCCAAAGGGAGGAUUCAACCCGACGGGUUCCAGUUGGCCAUCCCAGGACCGGCGGAUCCCCCAGCGGGACUGCCUCCCGGCCGGGCACCCCUUCCUCCCACUGGGCACAUUUCCUCCUCGGCGGUGCGCCGCAACCGGCCCUGGGUCAGCUUGGAAGGGUCCAGGGGGAAGGUCUGUCGACCGGGGAGGACUGUCCUCAGUGCGCCCCAACCGCAUCGCUUCGCCGGGCUGGGGACCGACCCUCGACGGGGCGCCAGGGGUCUGCGACGAAGUCGGCUAACCACCCAACCCCUCUUGAAACACGGACCAAGGAGUCUAACGCACACGCGAGUCAGAGGGUGAGCGAAACCCCGAGGCCCAAUGAAAGUGAAGACCUGCGCCCGCCGGCCGAGGUGGGAUCCCGCCACCACCGGCUAGUCUUGCCCGCUCCAUCAGGGAGGUGGAGCACGAGUGUGUGCGAUAGGACCUGAAAGAUGGUGAACUAUGCCUGGGCAGGACGAAGCCAGAGGAAACUCUGGUGGAGGUCCGUAGUGGUUCUGAAAUGCAAAUCGGUCAUCUGACUUGGGUAUAGGGGCGAAAGACUAAUCGAACCAUCUUGUAGCUUGCUCCCUCCAAAGUUUCCCUCAGGAUAGCUGGCGCUCGACAGUCUCGCAGUUUUACCUGGUAAAGCGAAUGACUAGAGGUCUUGGGGCCAAAACAAUCUCAAACUAUUCUCAAACUUUAAAUGGGUAAGAGCCCGGCUUGCUGGCCUGGAGCCGGGCAUGGAAUGCGAGCCACCUAGUAGGCCACUUUUGGUAAGCAGAACUGGCUCUGUGGGAUGAACCGAACACCGGGUUAAGGUGCCCGAUGCCGAAACUCAUCAGACCUCAGAAAAGGUGUUGGUUGAUAUAGACAGCAGAAAGUCGGAAUCCGCUAAGGAGUGUGUAACAACUCACCUGCCAAAUCAACUAGCCCUGAAAAUGGAUGGUGCUGGACCGUCGGGCCCAUACCCAGCUGUUGCUGGCACCGGGAGCCCGCGGGGGCUAGGCCAUGAUGAGUAGGAGGGCUGCCGUGGUGAGCACAGAAGCCUAGGGCGCGGGCCCGGGUAGAGCCGCCGUGGGUGCAGAUCUUGGUGGUAGCAGCAAAUAUUCAAAUGAGAACUUUGAAGGCCGGAGUGGAGAAGGGUUCCAUGUGAACAGCAGUUGAACAUGGGUCAGUCGGUCCUAAGACGGGGGGAGCGCCGUUCAUAAGGCCUCCAUCGCCCCCUGCCGAUCGAAAGGGAGUCGGGUUCAGAUCCCUGAAUCCGGAGUGGUGGAGACAUGCACCCAGUGCGGUAACGCAUUCGAACCCGGAAAAGCCGGGGCUCCCGUCAGCUGCUCAUUAUCACAGUAAAAAAAGACAUGCUUUUUAGAAUUUGAAUAAUAGGGAAUAUAAUAUGGAAUCGCGUAUCUAAAGAAAUUAAUAAUUAUAUGAUUAUGUGCAUAUACAGUAGCC
This 1898-nucleotide non-coding RNA is filed under the name Lepisosteus oculatus (spotted gar). RNAcentral's name for it is "Eukaryotic large subunit ribosomal RNA". It matches the Rfam family "Eukaryotic large subunit ribosomal RNA", at positions 24 to 1799 of the family's 3401-position model. The record is from Rfam by way of RNAcentral. Lineage: Eukaryota; Metazoa; Chordata; Actinopteri; Semionotiformes; Lepisosteidae.